AAACCAACAGGGAUUACCUCAGUAACGGCGAGUGAAGCGGUAACAGCUCAAAUUUGAAAGCUGCCAACAGGCCGCGUUGUAAUUUGUAGAAGCUGCUUUGGGUAUUGGCCCGGUCUAAGUUCCUUGGAACAGGACGUCAUAGAGGGUGAGAAUCCCGUAUGUGAUCGGUGCCGGCGCCCGUGUAAAGCGCUUUCGACGAGUCGAGUUGUUUGGGAAUGCAGCUCAAAAUGGGUGGUAAAUUUCAUCUAAAGCUAAAUAUUGGCCAGAGACCGAUAGCGCACAAGUAGAGUGAUCGAAAGAUGAAAAGCACUUUGGAAAGAGAGUUAAACAGUACGUGAAAUUGUUGAAAGGGAAGCGCUUGCAACCAGACUUGCGGGCGGUCGAUCAUCCGAGGUUCUCCCCGGUGCACUCGAUCGUUCUCAGGCCAGCAUCGGUUUCCGGGGUGGGAUAAAGACGGUGGGAAUGUGGCUCUUCGGAGUGUUAUAGCCCACCGUGCAAUGCCGCCACCGGGGACCGAGGACCGCGCUUCGGCUAGGAUGCUGGCGUAAUGGUUGUAAGCGAC
RNAcentral lists this ribosomal RNA (562 nucleotides) under Helotiales sp. OTU34 TS-2013. RNAcentral's name for it is "eukaryotic LSU rRNA". It matches the Rfam family "Eukaryotic large subunit ribosomal RNA", at positions 62 to 648 of the family's 3401-position model. The record is from RNAcentral. Lineage: Eukaryota; Fungi; Ascomycota; Leotiomycetes; Helotiales.